GAUGAAGAACGUAGUGAAAUGCGAUAAGUAAUGUGAAUUGCAGAAUUCAGUGAAUCAUCGAAUCUUUGAACGCACAUUGCGCCCUUUGGUAUUCCGAAGGGCAUGCCUGUUCGAGCGUCAUUAUCACCCCUCAAGCCCCCGGCUUGGUGUUGGACGGUUUGGCGGAGGCCCUCCGGGGCCCUUGCCCCUCCCAAAGACAAUGACGGCGGCCUCGUUGGACCCCCGGUACACUGAGUUCUUUACGGGACACGUACUGGAGUAAGGGUGCGCGGGGCACGGUCUGCCUCCCCUCAGGGAGAAUCUUUUUUUACAAGGUUGACCUCGGAUCAGGUAGGGAUACCCGCUGAACUUAAGCAUAUCAAUAAGCGGAGGA
This 373-nucleotide unclassified non-coding RNA is filed under the name soil metagenome. Its description in RNAcentral is "partial contains 5.8S ribosomal RNA, internal transcribed spacer 2, and large subunit ribosomal RNA". The stretch from base 1 to 120 matches the Rfam family "5.8S ribosomal RNA", at positions 35 to 154 of the family's 154-position model. The record is from RNAcentral.